AUGAAGUCUCUCAGGGUCUUUGUCCUCCUCCUGCUCCAUCAGGUCCUCAUAUCAGCGGCGUCGCCUGAUGAAGUGACGCACAAGGCGACGACACCAGCUGAGGAAGUAAUUGGAUCUAGCACAGCAGCACUAAGUGCACCAGCACCAACGCUGCCAGCAUCACCAAGAACCACAUCACAUCUAACACCAACCACAGCCCGGAAAACCUCUGCUGCCCCGCCUCCUCCCACCACCAUCACUACUACUCCAGAAAACAGAAAAACUGCUCCUCCUGCUUCAACCGUGAAGACCCUUGCUUCCUCAGCAGCACCGACAGAUACCCACACAUCUGCAGCUGUUACCAUGACAACCAAUACAACCGGCGGUUUGGAGGUGAGAGGUAAUCGCCCUUUCAGGACAGGAAGCACUUCAGACAUCCAAAAAGAGACAGACGUAAAGGAUUUAACCAAGUUGUUAGAACCUGACAGCACCGAAAAGCCCCAAACAGCACACCACACUGAAUCAACGCCUGCAAAGCCACAUGAGAAAGAAGAGUCCAAAGACAGAGGUUUGCAGACAGGAAGUGAGGAGAAAAUACCUCCUAAAUCAGCCUCAGACAAACGCCUGUGGUGGAUUCUGCUUCCUGUCCUCCUGGUGGGAGCUGCUGCUGCUAUCAUCCUCAAGUUCAAAUCUAAGAAAGUCCACAAUCACCAAGAAACUCUUGACGCUGGAACUGAGAACGCGUCCUUCCAGAGCAGGCCUGAAAUCACCAAAGAUGGCGUCAUGCUCCUCGGGGUGAAGUCAUCGAGCGGAGAGGAAAAUGCUGCAGCGAGAUAAAAAAGAAGACAAAGAAAACUUACGGAAGGCAUCAUCACUCUCACAGCUUUUUUUAUAUGUGUGAUCCAAAAAGAUUCACGUUAAGACACUUUACUGGGAAGAAAGAGGAGCUACGAAGGUCUUUAAAACGUUAAAGUUCAGUUUCCAAACUUAAAGUAUGAUAAAUAACUAAAAAAAAGCUUUUCUGAACCAAACAUUUUUAAUAGGUUAAUGACGUGACAUCUAGAUAUUCUGUCGAAUUGCAUUUCUUUUAGUUUAAAAAAAAAGGUUCAAAUGCAUAAAAAUAUGCCAAAUAUGUCAUAACUUUAAAUUAUUUAAAUUACCCUAAACUUAUUCAAAUGUAUUUCCUGCUCUGAUUUAGUUAUAUAUUGUAGUCGUGUAUAAGAUUUCAAAGUAUUUCUAUUUUUAUUUCCAUCAUGAUAUUCAUGCAAAUCUUCCCUGAUGAUGCCCAUUUUAUGAAAUAUCAUGCAGUGAAAUCCUUGCUAGGAAGCUAAUAGCUAAUGUCACAAAUCAAAAUAAAAAAAACCCUUUGGUUCUGACGCUUCA
This is a long non-coding RNA of Gouania willdenowi (blunt-snouted clingfish), 1362 nucleotides long. Ensembl annotates it as podocalyxin-like. The record is from Ensembl. NCBI's taxonomy places the organism in Eukaryota, Metazoa, Chordata, Actinopteri, Blenniiformes, Gobiesocidae.